UACGUAGGUGGCGAGCGUUAUCCGGAAUUAUUGGGCGUAAAGAGUGCGCAGGCGGUUUGAUAAGUCUAAAAUAAAAGCCCGAAGCUUAACUUCGGUUCGUUUUAGAAACUGUCAGACUAGAGUGCGGUAGAGGCAAAUGGAAUUUCUAGUGUAGCGGUAAAAUGCGUAGAUAUUAGAAGGAACACCAGUGGCGAAGGCGAUUUGCUGGGCCGCAACUGACGCUCAUGCACGAAAGCGUGGGGAGCAAAUAGG
RNAcentral lists this ribosomal RNA (252 nucleotides) under uncultured bacterium. RNAcentral describes it as "partial 16S ribosomal RNA". It matches the Rfam family "Bacterial small subunit ribosomal RNA", at positions 524 to 776 of the family's 1533-position model. The record is from RNAcentral.